This 429-nucleotide ribosomal RNA is filed under the name Actinomycetes bacterium. RNAcentral's name for it is "Actinobacteria bacterium partial 16S ribosomal RNA". It matches the Rfam family "Bacterial small subunit ribosomal RNA", at positions 355 to 776 of the family's 1533-position model. The record is from RNAcentral. Lineage: Bacteria; Bacillati; Actinomycetota; Actinomycetes.
UAGGGAAUCUUCCGCAAUGGGCGAAAGCCUGACGGAGCAACGCCGCGUGAGUGAUGAAGGUCUUCGGAUCGUAAAACUCUGUUAUUAGGGAAGAACAAAUGUGUAAGUAACUAUGCACGUCUUGACGGUACCUAAUCAGAAAGCCACGGCUAACUACGUGCCAGCAGCCGCGGUAAUACGUAGGUGGCAAGCGUUAUCCGGAAUUAUUGGGCGUAAAGCGCGCGUAGGCGGUUUUUUAAGUCUGAUGUGAAAGCCCACGGCUCAACCGUGGAGGGUCAUUGGAAACUGGAAAACUUGAGGGCGGAAGAGGAAAGGGGAAUUCCAUGUGUGGCGGUGAAAUGCGCAGAAAUAUGGAGGAACACCAGUGGCGAAGGCGACUUUCUGGUCUGUAACUGACGCUGAUGUGCGAAAGCAGGGGGAUCAAACAGG